AACGCACCUUGCACUUUUGGGUAUUCCUGAGAGUAUGUCUGUUUGAGUGUCGUGAACCUCUCAAAACCCCCUUUUGUUUAACUACGAAAGUGUUUGGGCUUUGGAUGUUGACUGCUUGUCGUUCUGAAUGACUCGGUCGAAAUAUAAGAGCUGAAGCUAAUGAUUGCAUUACUACAGUCUCAGGACUUGGCGUGAUAAUUAUUUCGCUAAGAAUCGAGUGCUGUGCGCAGUUGUCAAGCGGGCUACUAAAUCAAUACUUUUUCAACUUAGACCUCAAAUCAGGCAGGGCUACCCGCUGAACUUAA
RNAcentral lists this unclassified non-coding RNA (305 nucleotides) under uncultured fungus. RNAcentral's name for it is "partial contains 5.8S ribosomal RNA, internal transcribed spacer 2, and large subunit ribosomal RNA". RNAcentral also lists the same sequence under 1 other name. The record is from RNAcentral. Lineage: Eukaryota; Fungi.